ACGGACUCCUACGGGAGGCAGCAGUAGGGAAUCUUCCACAAUGGGCGCAAGCCUGAUGGAGCAACGCCGCGUGUGUGAUGAAGGCUUUCGGGUCGUAAAGCACUGUUGUAUGGGAAGAAAUGCUAAAAUAGGGAAUGAUUUUAGUUUGACGGUACCAUACCAGAAAGGGACGGCUAAAUACGUGCCAGCAGCCGCGGUAAU
RNAcentral lists this ribosomal RNA (201 nucleotides) under bacterium enrichment culture clone AVCTGRB5A. RNAcentral describes it as "partial 16S ribosomal RNA". It matches the Rfam family "Bacterial small subunit ribosomal RNA", at positions 331 to 524 of the family's 1533-position model. The record is from RNAcentral.